UACGUAGGCAGCAAGCGUUGUUCGGAAUUACUGGGCGUAAAGAGUGUGUAGGUGGUGUCGUAAGUUUGGUGUGAAAUCUCCCGGCUUAACUGGGAGGGUGCGCCGAAGACUGCGAUGCUGGAGUAUGGGAGAGGAAAGCGGAAUUCCUGGUGUAGCGGUGAAAUGCGUAGAUAUCAGGAGGAACACCUGCGGUGUAGACGGCUUUCUGGACCAUUACUGACACUAAGACACGAAAGCGUGGGUAGCAAACAGG
This 253-nucleotide ribosomal RNA is filed under the name uncultured bacterium. Its description in RNAcentral is "partial 16S ribosomal RNA". It matches the Rfam family "Bacterial small subunit ribosomal RNA", at positions 524 to 776 of the family's 1533-position model. The record is from RNAcentral.